AGUGAACGCUGGCGGUAGGCCUAACACAUGCAAGUCGAACGGCAGCACAGUAAGAGCUUGCUCUUACGGGUGGCGAGUGGCGGACGGGUGAGGAAUACAUCGGAAUCUACUUUUUCGUGGGGGUUAAGGAAGGGAAAUUUAGGCUAGAACGGAAUCCGCCUUCGGGUGGAAGGAGGGGGACCUUGGAACCUGGCGGGUUUGAAUAAGCGAUGUCGGAUUUGCUAGGUGGCGGGGUAAAGGCCCACCAAGGCGACGAUCCGUAGCUGGUCUGAGAGGAUGAUCAGCCACACUGGAACUGAGACACGGUCCAGACUCCUACGGGAGGCAGCAGUGGGGAAUAUUGGACAAUGGGCGCAAGCCUGAUCCAGCCAUACCGCGUGGGUGAAGAAGGCCUUCGGGUUGUAAAGCCCUUUUGUUGGGAAAGAAAAGCAGCAGGUUAAUACCCCGCUGUUCUGACGGUACCCAAAGAAUAAGCACCGGCUAACUUCGUG
This 491-nucleotide ribosomal RNA is filed under the name uncultured bacterium. Its description in RNAcentral is "partial 16S ribosomal RNA". It matches the Rfam family "Bacterial small subunit ribosomal RNA", at positions 29 to 507 of the family's 1533-position model. The record is from RNAcentral.